RNAcentral lists this transfer RNA (63 nucleotides) under Candidatus Tayloriibacteriota bacterium. RNAcentral's name for it is "tRNA-Val". It matches the Rfam family "tRNA", at positions 9 to 71 of the family's 71-position model. From Rfam's summary of the family: Transfer RNA (tRNA) molecules are approximately 80 nucleotides in length. Their secondary structure includes four short double-helical elements and three loops (D, anti-codon, and T loops). Lineage: Bacteria; Candidatus Tayloriibacteriota. The record is from RNAcentral.
GGCUCUGGUUAGAGCACAGCAUUCACAUUGCUGGGGUCACAGGUUCAAAUCCUGUGCCGUCCA